This 484-nucleotide ribosomal RNA is filed under the name uncultured bacterium. RNAcentral's name for it is "partial 16S ribosomal RNA". It matches the Rfam family "Bacterial small subunit ribosomal RNA", at positions 28 to 523 of the family's 1533-position model. The record is from RNAcentral.
GAUGAACGCUGGCGGCGUGCCUAAUACAUGCAAGUCGAACGAUGAAGCCGGAGCUUGCUCUGGUGAAUUAGUGGCGAACGGGUGAGUAACACGUGAGUAACCUGCCCUUGACUCUGGGAUAACUGCGGGAAACUGUAGCUAAUACCGGAUACGACCCUCGGCGGCAUCGCCAGGGGGUGGAAAGAAUUUCGGUCAAGGAUGGACUCGCCGCCUAUCAGCUAGUUGGUGAGGUAACGGCUCACCAAGGCGACGACGGGUAGCCGACCUGAGAGGGGGACCGGCCACACUAGGACGGAGACACGGACCAGACUCAGACGGGAGGCAGCAGGGGGGAAGAUUGCACAAUGGGCGCAAGGCAGAUGCAUCAACGCCGCGUGAGGGAUGACGGCCUUCGGGUUGUAAACCACUUUUAGUAGGGAAGAAGCGAAAGUGACGGUACCUGCAGAAAAAGCACCGGCUAACUACGUGCCAGCAGCCGCAGUAA